GUAAGAAAAAUGUAGCUUUUGUAUAAGAUAGGGAUUCUGUGAAACUCACUCAUCAGCCUGAAAAUGUCACCAGCUGUGUUGCCGACUGGUUAGAACGUUUCAGGUGUGAGAGGGCAGGUGUGUUUACGAGGCAGAACUCUCAGGUUCUAGGUGUGAGCGGGCACGUGUGUUUACGAGGCAGAACUCUCGGGUUGUAGGUGUGAGAGGGCACGUGUGUUUAUGAGGCAGAACUCUCGGGUUCUAGGUGUGAGAGGGCACGUGUGUUUACGAGGCAGAGCUCUCGGGUUCUAGGUGUGAGAGGGCACGUGUGUUUACGAGGCAGAGCUCUCGGGUUCUAGGUGUGAGAGGGCAGGUGUGUUUACGAGGCAGAGCUCUCGGGUUCUAGGUGUGAGAGGGCACGUGUGUUUACGAGGCAGAGCUCUCGGGUUCUAGGUGUGAGAGGGCAGGUGUGUUUACGAGGCAGAGCUCUCGGGUUCUAGGUGUGAGAAUGCACGUGUGUUUACGAGGCAGAGCUCUCGGGUUCUAGGUGUGAGAGGGCAGGUGUGUUUACGAGGCAGAGCUCUCGGGUUCUAGGUGUGAGAGGGCACGUGUGUUUACGAG
This 600-nucleotide long non-coding RNA is filed under the name Salmo salar (Atlantic salmon). RNAcentral's name for it is "lncRNA (ENSSSAG00000096953.1)". Lineage: Eukaryota; Metazoa; Chordata; Actinopteri; Salmoniformes; Salmonidae. The record is from RNAcentral.